UGGCUCAGUUGGUAGAGCAUGUGACUCUUGAUCUCAGGAUUGUGAGUUCAAGUCCCAC
Molecule: transfer RNA, 58 nt
Filed under: Canis lupus familiaris (dog)
Lineage: Eukaryota; Metazoa; Chordata; Mammalia; Carnivora; Canidae
Also listed under: 1 other name
Rfam family: tRNA
About the family: Transfer RNA (tRNA) molecules are approximately 80 nucleotides in length.
Source: Rfam by way of RNAcentral